UAAAGUAGCGUGUGAGCGUUCUAGAGCUCCA
This 31-nucleotide small RNA is filed under the name Bombyx mori (domestic silkworm). Its description in RNAcentral is "ovarian small RNA-18385". Lineage: Eukaryota; Metazoa; Arthropoda; Insecta; Lepidoptera; Bombycidae. The record is from RNAcentral.